This 279-nucleotide ribosomal RNA is filed under the name uncultured bacterium. RNAcentral describes it as "partial 16S ribosomal RNA". It matches the Rfam family "Bacterial small subunit ribosomal RNA", at positions 506 to 784 of the family's 1533-position model. The record is from RNAcentral.
UGCCAGCCGCCGCGGUAAUACGGAGGUGGCAAGCGUUGUUCGGAAUUACUGGGCGUAAAGGGCGCGUAGGCGGCAUGGCAAGUCAGAUGUGAAAGCCCCGAGCUUAACUCGGGAAUUGCAUCUGAAACUGCUUUGCUUGAGUCCUGGAGGGGGUAGUGGAAUUCCCAGUGUAGCGGUGAAAUGCGUAGAUAUUGGGAGGAACACCUGCGGCGAAGGCGGCUACCUGGACAGUGACUGACGCUGAGGCGCGAAAGCUAGGGGAGCGAACGGGAUUAGAUA